AGAGUUCGAUUAUGGCUCAGGACGAACGCUGGCGGCGCGCCUAACACAUGCAAGUCGAACGAGAGAGAGGAAGCUUGCUUCCUCAAUCGAGUGGCGAACGGGUGAGUAACGCGUGAGGAACCUGCCUCAAAGAGGGGGACAACAGUUGGAAACGACUGCUAAUACCGCAUAAGCCCACAGCUCGGCAUCGAGCAGAGGGAAAAGGAGCAAUCCGCUUUGAGAUGGCCUCGCGUCCGAUUAGCUAGUUGGUGAGGUAACGGCCCACCAAGGCGACGAUCGGUAGCCGGACUGAGAGGUUGAACGGCCACAUUGGGACUGAGACACGGCCCAG
RNAcentral lists this ribosomal RNA (331 nucleotides) under uncultured bacterium. RNAcentral's name for it is "bacterial SSU rRNA". It matches the Rfam family "Bacterial small subunit ribosomal RNA", at positions 8 to 334 of the family's 1533-position model. The record is from RNAcentral.